This 106-nucleotide small nuclear RNA is filed under the name Jaculus jaculus (lesser Egyptian jerboa). Lineage: Eukaryota; Metazoa; Chordata; Mammalia; Rodentia; Dipodidae. The record is from RNAcentral.
GUGCUUGCUUCGGCAGCACAUAACUAAAAUUGGAACGAUACAGGGAACAUUAGCAUGGCCCCUGCACAAGUAUGACACGCAAAUUCAUGAAGUGUUCCAUAUUUUU